This 102-nucleotide ribosomal RNA is filed under the name Bradyrhizobium sp. ORS 206. RNAcentral's name for it is "partial 23S ribosomal RNA". It matches the Rfam family "Bacterial large subunit ribosomal RNA", at positions 1 to 101 of the family's 2925-position model. The record is from RNAcentral. Lineage: Bacteria; Pseudomonadati; Pseudomonadota; Alphaproteobacteria; Hyphomicrobiales; Nitrobacteraceae.
AAUCAAGUGCCUUAAGGGUGUUCGGUGGAUGCCUUGGCGCUGAGAGGCGAUGAAGGACGUGCUACGCUGCGAUAAGCCGUGGGGAGCUGCGAAGAAGCUUUG